Molecule: ribosomal RNA, 207 nt
Filed under: uncultured bacterium
Lineage: Bacteria
Description: partial 16S ribosomal RNA
Rfam family: Bacterial small subunit ribosomal RNA
Source: RNAcentral
CACGUAGGCGGACUUUUAAGUCAGAUGUGAGAUCCCAAGGCUCAACCUUGGAACUGCAUUUGAAACUGGGAGUCUAGAGAUCAGGAGAGGUUAGCGGAAUACCGAGUGUAGAGGUGAAAUUCGUAGAUAUUCGGUGGAACACCAGUGGCGAAGGCGGCUAACUGGACUGAUACUGACGCUGAGGUGCGAAAGUGUGGGGAGCAAACA